RNAcentral lists this long non-coding RNA (276 nucleotides) under Zonotrichia albicollis (white-throated sparrow). RNAcentral describes it as "lncRNA (ENSZALG00000009035.1)". Lineage: Eukaryota; Metazoa; Chordata; Aves; Passeriformes; Passerellidae. The record is from RNAcentral.
GCUGAAAAAGUCAUCACAGCACAGCAAGUAAUGGAAACUCAGCAGCAUCCAGCCUGCAGAUGAGUUUCAGGUCUGCCUAUGCCCCGGUGACAGUUCCAUAACCAGCCCUAAGGCCUCCAGCAGUGGAUUCUCCCAGGCCUCCCUCCAGAGUGAGCCCCAGUCUAAAGGAAUGUAAAAAAAAUUGCAUCUGAGCUUUCAAGUAACAAGUUGCACACAGGGGACUUGCUGUGAAGAGCUGUUGAAAUGUAAGGUGCUAAGACUUAUAACAAGGUAACC